Molecule: ribosomal RNA, 484 nt
Filed under: uncultured bacterium
Lineage: Bacteria
Description: partial 16S ribosomal RNA
Rfam family: Bacterial small subunit ribosomal RNA
Source: RNAcentral
AUUGAACGCUGGCGGCAGGCCUAACACAUGCAAGUCGAGCGGAUGAAGGGAGCUUGCUCCUGGAUUCAGCGGCGGACGGGUGAGUAAUGCCUAGGAAUCUGCCUGGUAGUGGGGGAUAACGUCCGGAAACGGGCGCUAAUACCGCAUACGUCCUGAGGGAGAAAGUGGGGGAUCUUCGGACCUCACGCUAUCCGAUGAGUCUAGGUCGGAUUAGCUAGUUGGUGGGGUAAAGGCCUACCAAGGCGACGAUCCGUAACUGGUCUGAGAGGAUGAUCAGUCACACUGGAACUGAGACACGGUCCAGACUCCUACGGGAGGCAGCAGUGGGGAAUAUUGGACAGUGGGCGAAAGCCUGAUCCAGCCAUGCCGCGUGUGUGGAGAAGGUCUUCGGAUUGUAAAGCACGUUAAGUUGGGAGGAAGGGCAGUAAGUUAAUACCUUGCUGUUUUGACGUUACCAACAGAAUAAGCACCGGCUAACUUCGUG